GGUCCUCCUUUCUUCCGGAUUGCAGUUUGUGGUGCCCGCGGGAGGCAAAAAACCAGAGAACGGAACGGGGUGGGUGUGUUAGACCCAGAGGAAACCCCUCUCCGUCCUGUCCUCACAUCUCCGAGGCCUAGAGAGGACUCAAUCUUAGGUCCAUUGUACCCCAUAUCAUCCCCCUGAAGAAAAGCUAAAUUUGCUCAGUAACUGCGCCAGACCCCACCCUCAGUCUUUCAGUCAGUUCCAAAGGGCUCACCCACACUCCAGGGGACUCUGAGUCGAAAAGGGGGUCCGUGGAACAGGGUGGGAUUACAGCAAUUGAAAAAAUUGGUCUGGAGCCGUCUCUGGCCUGGGAAAACCGCUGCUUCCACAGAUAAGCCGAGGGGAGCAGGCGCGGGCGCAGAAGAGUGACUUCAGACCACAGAACAGGUAGUGUAGACUGAAUGAGGUACGAAUUGGCCCAGUGAAGACGGAAUUAGGUGCUAAUUGGCCCAAUCUGAGACUGGGUUAAUAGCUGACUUCUGACCCCCAGGCCCCUGUAAGGACAGCGAAGGGAGCCUUUGACUGCUCCAGCUACAGGUGUGAGGUCACAGAGGCACUGGGGCUCUUGAAGCUUGAUGCUUCUUCUGAAUGAAGACGGCCCAAUCAUAUUAAGUAACAUGUAUAUAUGAGGUGCUGUUUUGAGUAUAUUUACUUUGUUAGGCCUCAGGACAACCCUAUGAGGUAGGGAUUACAAUCACCCUCAGUUUACAGAUAAGCAUGUGAGUGCUUCUCUAGUAAGGAGUAAAGCAGGACUUCACAUUCAAGGCAGUCUGGCUCCAGAGUCUGCACUCCUCUAAGAGCACAACCUACAGAUGUACACAAUCUACAAUCCGGGGCGAAGACUGCAGCCAUGUCCUGCCCGCCAUCCACAACACACAGUGAGGUGUCGCUCCAGGACCUUGCUUCAGACAUGUGAAUGGAUGAAGAAAACAUGGUAUAUACAUACAGUGGAAUACUGUUCAGCCUUUAAAAAUAUGAAAAUUGCAAUAUGCAACAACAGGGAUGAACUCUGAGGACAUUAUGGAUCUUAGUUUCCAGACCAAGGAUUGAACCUGGAGCUAUGCUGAAUCCUAACUGCUGGA
This is a long non-coding RNA of Bubalus bubalis (water buffalo), 1118 nucleotides long. RefSeq lists it as uncharacterized. The transcript is spliced from 4 exons. NCBI's taxonomy places the organism in Eukaryota, Metazoa, Chordata, Mammalia, Artiodactyla, Bovidae. The record is from RefSeq and is a predicted model, not a curated record.